Molecule: ribosomal RNA, 211 nt
Filed under: Vibrio cholerae
Lineage: Bacteria; Pseudomonadati; Pseudomonadota; Gammaproteobacteria; Vibrionales; Vibrionaceae
Description: partial 23S ribosomal RNA
Rfam family: Bacterial large subunit ribosomal RNA
Source: RNAcentral
GGUUGUGUCGCCAGACGCAUUGCCCGGUAGCUAAGUUCGGAAUUGAUAAGCGCUGAAAGCAUCUAAGCGCGAAGCGAGCCCUGAGAUGAGUCUUCCCUGACGGUUUAACCGUCCUAAAGGGUUGUUCGAGACUAGAACGUUGAUAGGCAGGGUGUGUAAGCGUUGUGAGGCGUUGAGCUAACCUGUACUAAUUGCCCGUGAGGCUUAACCA